RNAcentral lists this unclassified non-coding RNA (219 nucleotides) under Hevea brasiliensis (rubber tree). Lineage: Eukaryota; Viridiplantae; Streptophyta; Magnoliopsida; Malpighiales; Euphorbiaceae. The record is from RNAcentral.
UUCCAACACCCCCCACUUUACCUUCUAUCAUUUGGAUGUGUUAGUUAAUCAAUUACAAGAAAUCCAACUACUUCAUGUUCCCUUUUGUCACUUUGCACCCUUCACAACAAGCAAGGAAUAAAAGAUCAAUCAUCAAAAAUCCAAGUUUUCUAGCUUAGCUUAACUUUAACAAAGUAAAAAAGAAAUAAAAAAAAGAUAGAUAGAUACACUUUAAUUGAG